UGGAGGCAGCAGUGAGGAAUUUUGCGCAAUGGGGGAAACCCUGACGCAGCAACGCCGCGUGAGUGAUGAAGGCCUUCGGGUCGUAAAGCUCUGUCAGAGGGAAAGAAGUGUAAGGUGGUUAAUACCCAUUUUACUUGACGGUACCUUCAAAGGAAGCACCGGCUAACUCCGUGCCAGCAGCCGCGGUAAUACGGAGGGUGCGAGCGUUGUUCGGAUUUAUUGGGCGUAAAGCGCGUGUAGGCGGUUUUUUAAGUCUGAUGUGAAAGCCCCGGGCUCAACCUGGGAAGUGCAUUGGAAACUGGGAGACUUGAAUACGGGAGAGGGCAGUGGAAUUCCUAGUGUAGGAGUGAAAUCCGUAGAUAUUAGGAGGAACACCGGUGGCGAAGGCGGCUGCCUGGACCGAUAUUGACGCUGAGACGCGAAAGCGUGGGUAGCAAACAGGCUUAGAUACCCCGGUAGG
Molecule: ribosomal RNA, 460 nt
Filed under: uncultured bacterium
Lineage: Bacteria
Description: bacterial SSU rRNA
Rfam family: Bacterial small subunit ribosomal RNA
Source: RNAcentral